RNAcentral lists this microRNA precursor (93 nucleotides) under Marmota monax (woodchuck). The record is from RNAcentral. Lineage: Eukaryota; Metazoa; Chordata; Mammalia; Rodentia; Sciuridae.
GUGUGUGUGUGUGUGUGUGUGUGUGUGUGUGUUUGUGUAUAAUGUAUAUGUAUAUAUGAUACACACACACACACACACACACAAAAUGGAUUA